AGAGUUUGAUUCUGGCUCAGGAUGAACGCUAGCUACAGGCUUAACACAUGCAAGUCGAGGGGAAACGACAUCGAAAGCUUGCUUUUGAUGGGCGUCGACCGGCGCACGGGUGAGUAACGCGUAUCCAACCUGCCCACCACUUGGGGAUAACCUUGCGAAAGUAAGACUAAUACCCAAUGACGUCUCUAGAAGACAUCUGAAAGAGAUUAAAGAUUUAUCGGUGAUGGAUGGGGAUGCGUCUGAUUAGCUUGUUGGCGGGUAACGGCCACAAGGCGACGAUCAGUAGGGGUUCUGAGAGGAACGGUCCCCCANAUUGGAACUGAGACACGGUCCAAACUCCGUACGGGAGGCA
RNAcentral lists this ribosomal RNA (352 nucleotides) under uncultured bacterium. RNAcentral describes it as "bacterial SSU rRNA". It matches the Rfam family "Bacterial small subunit ribosomal RNA", at positions 8 to 350 of the family's 1533-position model. The record is from RNAcentral.